AACGAACGCUGGCGGCAUGCUUAACACAUGCAAGUCGAACGAGACGUCCGGGCUUUGUGGCGCACGGGUGCGUAACGAGUGGGAACUUGCACUUAGGUUCGGUAUACUUCACUGUAAGGUAUCUUAAGACAGGUUAAUGUAAUCGCACCAAAGAUCUAUGGCUUUUGGGUGGGCGCGGGUUGGAUUAGGUGGUUGGUAGGGUACAAGCAUAUCAUGGCGAUGAUGCAUGGCUGGUCUGGGAGGAGGAUCAGCCACACUGGGACUGCGACACGGCCCAGACUCCGACGGAGGACAGCAGUGUGGAGUAUUAUGGGAGGAACGAUGACCUGAUCCAGCAGUGCCGCGUAUGUGGGGAAGGCCUUAGGGUUGUAAAUCUCUUUUAGCCGAGGUGAUAGUGACAGUACCGGGAAAAGAAGCACCGGCUAACUACGUG
Molecule: ribosomal RNA, 433 nt
Filed under: uncultured bacterium
Lineage: Bacteria
Description: partial 16S ribosomal RNA
Rfam family: Bacterial small subunit ribosomal RNA
Source: RNAcentral